AAUCUCUCUAAGUAAAACACGGUGCUUUUAAUGAGCCAGCGAUCACAGUUCAGUCAGGGAGAUGGUGGCUAAGGAUGCCAGGCCUGACACUUGAGUGCUGCGUUUUCCUUGUGUACCAAUUAUGGUUACUGUAACUUGGGCAGCAUCAGAGAAGGGCUGCCCCCUACCACCUCACCUCGCAAAAAUGUGUUUCUUAUAUUAAAACUCUCACGCACGCACACACACACACACACACACACUCUCUCUCCUUUGUAAAGGUAUCUCUCCAUUCGUACUUUGUCUGAUGGUGAAGCCACAGGGGCCGUGAGCCCUGUGAGUGCCGUCCCCACCCCAGGGUGACAUCAGCAGAGUGCGUGUGUGAGGCCCAGAGGUACACCACUCCUUCAGUCUGCCAGUGUGCCUCCUGCCUGCCUUGGAGGUAGCCUUACUCCCUGGGACGCGUCCAAGAAACUGAAAGCAAUAGGCAGAUUUGGAUUUCAGCUCCUCACCUGACGGAUGACCCCAGCCUGCUCUGCUAUGAGAUGGAGCACACCAGUGAUUACUGUAAAAGGCUGUUGUGAAGGUUCCAGGAAGUAUUCCUGAAGUUCCUGGCCACUGGCUCACAUGUACAAGAUACUGAAAAUUCAUCCCAAUGCCAACCAAGGUGCCACCUGACCACCCAAAAUGCUCCUCCUUGCCACCUCAUUUUUGUUCACCAGGAGCAGCAGAGACACCCACUGUUGUUGACAGUGGACAUACGACUUACAUUUUCAGGAAUUUAACUCAGGCUGUCCCCAAUCCUUGGGAGAACAAAGUCCCUCUUGGUGCAUUCAUCUUUAAUCAGAUGGCAUAAAAUUUUUCUACCUCAAUCUGCGCCUCCUCAAUUAUUUCCAAGUAUUUCCACAAGGCACCCACUUCUCCCAAGAUAUUUUAAUGCCGUUCGUGUCGAAAUAUGGGCAAUGGCUCUUGUAGAAUCCAUGGACACAUAGGCCAACUGUCCAGAUUCCUGGACUCCAUCAGAGACCUGCUGCGUGGCCUCUCAAGGACCAGGGCGUGUUUCUCUCUUGCAGCCCAACCACAGACACUUCCUGAGAUGGAGGUAUGGCUCAUGCAGUGACAGGUCCAUCACUGCAGGGUGUGGGAAGUGGGAUGCCCGACGACAUCACCCCAGUCCCUGCGAUCUGCACGUGCUGUCGCCUUGUGUGGCAAAAGGGUCUUUGCAGCUGUCCAUAGGACUAUGGAACCUGAAAAUAGAUUGUCUUGGGUUAUUCAGGUGGGCCCUAUUUAACCACAGGGGCCUUUGAAAGCAGACAGUUUCCCUGGGCCAAAGGCAGGGAAAGGGGCACAGAGAGUCCACAUGGGAGAGGCUCUUGACCUGACAUUGCAGCAGGGGCCACGUGGAAACUGAUGGGGAAUGUGGGGGCCUCUAGAGGAAAAGACCAGUCCUGGCUGAGGAAAUGGUGCCUGUAUCAGAGGACAGGACACACUGGAGAAAGCAGUACCCGGCUGAGGACACGGAGGAUACCCAAAUCAGAGGAUGGGAUGGACCAGAGGAGGCAGGGACUCAGUCCCACUGCUACAAGAACUGAAUUCAGCCAGCACCCUGGGGAGCGCCUCCUUCCCUGGAGUCUCUGGUAAAUAAUGCAGCCCUGCAGGAGACUUGAGCUCAGCCCAUGAGAUCCUGUGCCGAGGACACAGCGGAGCCCACACUGACUUCCAAUCUAUAGAACAGUGAGAGACGAUAAAGCUCUGCGGUUUGAAGCUGACAAGUUGGUGGUGAUUGGUUAAGGCAGCAGAAGAAAAUGAGAUUAAACAGUAACGUUCUAUGGACUAAUGGUGAGAAUCAACCUGCAGAGAGGACUCAGGGGCCCAGGCUCACCUCCUCCCAGUCACCAAGGAGCAGGCACUUAGGUCAAAUUCCUUCCCGAGUUAAUCCUGGUAAAAUGAAGAGGCCACCCCAGGAAUACAGCUCUUAACGGGUAGAAGUCAGAGAAAAGAAAUCUUCCCAUCCGAACAGUCAUCCCCACCGUGAGCAUGUGCACCCGCAGGACUCCCAGGUUGCAAUCCUCUUCUGAAAGUCCCCGAGGGGUUCCGGUCUGUAGUCGGCCCCAUCCUCGAUUUGGGGCACCUGAGUCGACACUGGGCUUGUGUCUGGAACUGGAUUUGUCAAAUACUCACCAGCCCUUCCCAGGGACCCUUUUCCUCCAGUCUCUGGCUGGUGUAUGAAGUGCCUGAGAAGCAAAUGUGGACAGUAGAGCGUGCCUAGCACCAGAGCCCAGAUAUGACUGAUCUCCAGCUUUGAUGAUGCCAAGAAUUCUUGCAUUCGUCCUCAUGUGCUAGAUCUCAACGCCAUUCGGAGUGGAUCCUGCAUCCAUGUGAGAUGUGGGUGUUGAGCGUGGGCCAUCAUCCUGGGGCCCACGGUGGCUGUGCUUCCUGAGCCCUAUUCCUCUGCCUCGGUCUGGGUGCUUCCCACUUCAGGCUGUGCUGCGGAUAUCUCCUUGUGCUUCUGCACAAGGCCCCACUAGGUUUUGAUGACUUAAGGGAACACAGUAUCUUGGAUCAAUAAUAAGACAUUCGGGGGUAUUUUAAGUCCAUCAGAUCUUGCUCAUGGGUACAGUUCCUGGCGUGAAGCCCAGGACUCUGUGGAUGUAACAAGUGUCUCCAGGUGGCUCUGGACAGUGAGGGGAUAUUUGAGAACCUCUGCCCAAGGGAUCCGUGACUACUCCAGGGAUCUGUGGCUGUCAUGAGCGUCUCCAGGUGGUCCUGGGCCAUGGGGGGAUCACUGAGGACCACUGCUCAAGGGAUCCGUGACUACUCCAGGACUCUGUGUCUGUCAUAAGCAACUCCAGGUGGCCCUGAGCAGUGGGGAGAUCAUUGAGGACCACUGCUCAAGGGAUCUGCUCCAGGGAUCUGUGGCUGUCACAAGCAUCUCCAGGUGGCCCUGGGCCCUGGGGGGAUCACUGAGGACUACUGCUCAAGGGAUGCUUUCUUAUUCCCUCGGCCCCAGCCAGAAUAUCCCACGCAAGCUGGGUGAUUCUGAUAAACACAGUUCUCACUCCAGUACAAAUGACUGAUGACUUGUGAAAACUUGUCACACUCCUGACCUCAGAGAGUGAACAAAUGGGCCUUUUCCACAAGAAAGAAAGCAGGGAAAGUGGCAGAGAGAGUCCACGUGGGAUAGGCUCAUAGCAGAGCCUCAGUGGUCCUGGCCAACCCCUGUCCUGGGCUCCCCCCAGCAUCUUCGCUCACUGGCCUGUACCACCUGCUCACAGCCCACAUGUUAGCAGAGUCUGAUGCACGGGCAGGCAGGAAACACACCACUGGGGCUGAACCCUGUGAUUUUAUGCUCUGAAGAGCUUGCCUGUGGGAACCAAUCCCCUAAAAUUGGAUGUUUUCUUUUAUAUUGAAAAACAAUAAAAAGGACAGUUAAAAAUCAAUUGAGUGUUUGACCCACAUGUAAAUGAAAGAAACUUCAGUUCUGUCCCAUGGGAACAGUGCCCCCAGAUUAGGGUGGA
This 3494-nucleotide long non-coding RNA is filed under the name Homo sapiens (human). RNAcentral's name for it is "HSALNT0157386". The record is from RNAcentral. Lineage: Eukaryota; Metazoa; Chordata; Mammalia; Primates; Hominidae.